This 855-nucleotide long non-coding RNA is filed under the name Mus musculus (house mouse). RNAcentral's name for it is "long non-coding RNA chr10:80508768-80509623". The record is from RNAcentral. Lineage: Eukaryota; Metazoa; Chordata; Mammalia; Rodentia; Muridae.
AUAGAUGAGUGGAUGGGUGGGUAGGUAGGUAGGUAGAUGGAUGGGUGGGUGGAUUGUGGGUGGUGGGUGAAUGGGUGGAUGGGUAGAUGGGUGGAUAGAUAGAUAGAUGGGUGAUUUCUUCUUCUAGUUGGAUCCUCAUCCCAGGAUGAGUAUCUGCCACCACACUCCUAAGAACCUCAGGGAAGACCAUCUCCCUUUGUUUCUGUUAGUGUCCAUCCGCCAGCAUGGAGCACCAUCUACCUGCCAGCCUUUGCCAAAUAUAGGUGCAUAUUUGUAGGGUUUAGGAUGGAAGCCAGGGUCUUACCAUGCAGGUUGGCUGGGCAACAGUCAAUUUUCAUUGUCCACUUGAGGCAACCAAGGACUACCAGGGAAUGGCGUCUCAGUGAGGGACUGUAGCGUAGGUGGAUGUGGGCCUGUCUGUGUGGGAUCACCUUUGUGCUCUGUUAUUGUUUGAGUCGGGGUCUCUCUAUUAUGCGGCCCUAGCUAUCCUAGAACUCGAUCUGUAGACUGGGUUGGUCAACUUAAAGAGAUCCACCUGCUUUUGCCUCCCGAAUGCUGGGAUUAAAGUCAUGCACUAUCAUAACUGGCCAAGGGGUUCUCUGUUGUGUUACCUUGGGUGGGAAGAAGACUGGUACAUUGUCCCUGGAUUUGGGUCCUGAACUGUGUGAAUAGAGAAGGCAUGGGAGGGGGCUGUGUAGACAGCUCAGUAGUUAAGGGCAGCCACAGCUCCCAGCAACUGCAGCUCACAGCCACCUGUGACUCCAGCUCCUGUGAUCUGCCUCCCCCUUCUGGCCUGAGAAAGUACUGCACGUACACACGCAAGACACUGCCCCACUCUCAACUAAAAACAAAACU